This is a long non-coding RNA of Apis mellifera (honey bee), 1547 nucleotides long. RefSeq lists it as uncharacterized. The record is from RefSeq and is a predicted model, not a curated record. The transcript has 2 exons. NCBI's taxonomy places the organism in Eukaryota, Metazoa, Arthropoda, Insecta, Hymenoptera, Apidae.
UAUUAUCAAAAUGAACAGAAAAAUCAUCAUCCAAUCAAAUAUUCGUAAUAUUGUAAUCAAUUUAGACGCCAUAUUGCUUUUCCCCAAACAGGCGCGACUUUUUCUUUUCCUUGCCUGCGCGAUGAAACGAUCGCGUUUGCACGCGACGCGAGUGCAAUUUUUGCAACGAGUUUGCUCAUCGAUUUUCCAUUUGUAACCGUUGCACGAACGGGAUUAAACAACGUGUUAAACCUUUCGAAUUUAUAUCGCCGCGGUACAUAACCGCGGAAAGUAAUCGCUGAUUAACAUUUUUUAACACUCGUGUUAAAUCGAUUGGAAACGAGCGAAUUAUGCGAGGCAGUUAGGCUGGAGAGAAAAUUUAAUCGGCGGACAAUCGUUUGAUUUCGCUGAGCACGUAAUUUCAAUGACCUCGUUACACGCAAAUUGUACAAAGGAGAAGGAAGAAAAGGAAAAGUUUAUUAUUUACGAUGUCGUAAAUCGAGUCUGUAUCUUAUCGUCUUAACGAUGUAUUUCAUUCGUGUAAAUUCUUCGUUCGGAAAGUUUAGUUUCGUUUCUUCGCACGAGUGUCGCUGGUCGAACGUUUAUUUUCCAGCCAACUUCACUCUGAAGUAGAAUCUCUUGAGGCGUUCGGAAAAUAGUGUCAUUUUUUCGCACGAGUGUCGCUAGUCGCUAUGCAGCCAACUUCAUUCUACAUCGUACUGUUAUGUUUUGAGAGUCGAGCAUUUCACGGUUUGUUUGUAAGAAGUGUUUCUUGUGCGUGAUAAGAAAAAGAUGCAAGACUAGGAAAAGAAGUAUUUUCCGUAUAUUUUAUUAAGGAUAAGAAAAAAGUUACAGUGAUUUUGACGAGGACGAAAUAAAGGUUUUUGAUCGAAGCAAAGCGACGAAUAAUAAUUCGAGAAAUUGCCACGAGGUUGGAACGACUUGGUUUCGUUUCGAAGCUCCAAUAAAUCAACUUUUCUUAAGCAUAAUUUCGCGAUCGAAUCGAAUUGGAUGCCAGGUGAGAAUGAGAUAUCUAAAUUCUCAAAUUUUUGCUCGCACAUUUUAAGAAAAUUAUUCGCGUGGCGACGAAUAAUAAUGGCGGGAUAGGUUAUAACACGAGACAGACAACUCGUUUAACCGCGUUCUCUAAUUCAAUGCAUCGCGUUAUCGGGCAAAAAGCGUCGAGCCUUAUUCGUGCAUUAAAGUAAUUAGCAAUUAAAGCAAUUAGCCGUUGAUAGUAAAUGGGAAUGGCGCGCCUUGCUUUACGAUGGAAGGGAAACUUUUCCUCGUGAUUGGAACGAAAAAUCGAAUCGGGGAUGAUGAAAUAAUUUUAGGAGCUGCGAUCCUUCGUUUCGAUCGUGUACAAUAAUUAUCGACUGAAGCCUUAAACGUCUUAAAUAACGACGUGGAAAACUUAAAUAAGUUUUACAGGCCGAGGCGGAGUUGUGAAAUUAGCUCUCUAACCGUAAUUAACUUUGAACAAAAAGAAAAAAAAAAAAAGGGAGUUGAAUGCGAGGCAACAGCGCGAAUUCGAAGGAGAUAAGAAUAAAAUGUUUUAAUUUUCAUUA